UGUUUCGGCUAGGGGGCCAUCCCGGCUUACCAACCCGAUGCAAACUGCGAAUACCGGAGAAUGUUAUCACGGGAGACACACGGCGGGUGCUAACGUCCGUCGUGAAGAGGGAAACAACCCAGACCGCCAGCUAAGGUCCCAAAGUCAUGGUUAAGUGGGAAACGAUGUGGGAAGGCCCAGACAGCCAGGAUGUUGGCUUAGAAGCAGCCAUCAUUUAAAGAAAGCGUAAUAGCUCACUGGUCGAGUCGGCCUGCGCGGAAGAUGUAACGGGGCUAAACCAUGCACCGAAGCUGCGGCAGCGACACUGUGUGUUGUUGGGUAGGGGAGCGUUCUGUAAGCCUGUGAAGGUGGCCUGUGAGGGUUGCUGGAGGUAUCAGAAGUGCGAAUGCUGACAUAAGU
RNAcentral lists this ribosomal RNA (399 nucleotides) under Salmonella enterica subsp. enterica serovar Newport. Its description in RNAcentral is "partial 23S ribosomal RNA". It matches the Rfam family "Bacterial large subunit ribosomal RNA", at positions 911 to 1307 of the family's 2925-position model. Lineage: Bacteria; Pseudomonadati; Pseudomonadota; Gammaproteobacteria; Enterobacterales; Enterobacteriaceae. The record is from RNAcentral.